This 261-nucleotide long non-coding RNA is filed under the name Brassica napus (rape). RNAcentral describes it as "long non-coding RNA (BNAP_LNC005100)". The record is from RNAcentral. Lineage: Eukaryota; Viridiplantae; Streptophyta; Magnoliopsida; Brassicales; Brassicaceae.
UUCAAUAUUGCAUAUCCAAUUCCACUUUUUAUUUAUUCUAAAAUAAAAUAAGAUUGGAACAAAACUUAUUACUACAUAGUACUCAUUUAAAAAAAGAAAAGUUAACAUUAAUUAGAAAUGCUCUAAAUCACAUAACUAAUAAGCUACUAUAACUGGUGCAAGAUAUAGUGCAUCAUUAUAAUGACUUUUAAUCUAUAUUUAAUGUUUAGAAGGAAAAAUAAAAUAUCGUUGGCUCUUAGUAUACAUAUAACAAAUAUAUGC